UUAGAAAAAGUUAUUUUAUAAUAUUAACUUUGGGAGUUAAAGUGUUACUUUAGGGUAAUUUCUAAA
Molecule: transfer RNA, 66 nt
Filed under: Meghimatium bilineatum
Lineage: Eukaryota; Metazoa; Mollusca; Gastropoda; Stylommatophora; Philomycidae
Description: tRNA-Pro
Source: RNAcentral